UGCAUUAUGUUAUACUAUGCUAGUAGAGAAGUUAAGGCGGUGGCUAUUUCCAGUAUUGGAGGUGGUGCUUAUGGUGUAAACCUAAUAAGCCAACCCAAAUUCCAGGAAAGGAGUAGCCCAAGUGUCCGUGUCGGACGCUUUACAAUUAAUGCUGGCUUUCGGUACCUUUAUCGUAGCCUUAAUCGCAU
RNAcentral lists this small RNA (188 nucleotides) under Lactiplantibacillus plantarum. RNAcentral describes it as "Lactobacillus plantarum rli28". It matches the Rfam family "Listeria sRNA rli28". The record is from RNAcentral. Lineage: Bacteria; Bacillati; Bacillota; Bacilli; Lactobacillales; Lactobacillaceae.